This 440-nucleotide ribosomal RNA is filed under the name uncultured bacterium. RNAcentral's name for it is "partial 16S ribosomal RNA". It matches the Rfam family "Bacterial small subunit ribosomal RNA", at positions 338 to 795 of the family's 1533-position model. The record is from RNAcentral.
CCUACGGGGGGCAGCAGUGGGGGAUAUUGCACAAUGGGGGAAACCCUGAUGCAGCGACGCCGCGUGGAUGAAGAAGCGCCUCGGCGCGUAAAGCCCUGUCAGCAGGGAAGAAAAUGACGGUACCUGAAGAAGAAGCCCCGGCUAACUACGUGCCAGCAGCCGCGGUACUACGGCGGGGGCAAGCGUUAUCCGGAUUUACUGGGUGUAAAGGGGGCGCAGACGGCGAUGCAAGUCAGGAGUGAAAGGCCGGGGCCCAACCCCGGGACUGCUAUUGGGACUGCGUGGCUAGAGUGCAGUAGGGGCAGGCGGAAUUCCUGGUGUAGCGGUGAAAUGCGUAGAUAUCAGGAGGAACACCGGUGGCGAAGGCGGCCUGCUGGACUGCAACUGACGUUGAGGCCCGAAAGCGUGGGGAGCAAACAGGAUUAGAUACCCCAGUAGUC